This is a non-coding RNA of Oryza glumipatula, 200 nucleotides long. The record is from Rfam. NCBI's taxonomy places the organism in Eukaryota, Viridiplantae, Streptophyta, Magnoliopsida, Poales, Poaceae.
UUUAAAUACAACCAUAAGUUUCUGUAUUCAACUUGAACAGUUUAUCUUAUUUUAUUUUUUAAUUAGUAUUUUUAUUGUUAUGAGAUGAUAAAACAUGAAUAAUACUUUAUACGUGACUUAUGUUUUUUAUUUUUUAAAUAAAAAAAUUAAAUAAGACGGACGGUCAAAGUUACGCAUGGAAAAUCAUACCUACAAUUAAA